RNAcentral lists this long non-coding RNA (208 nucleotides) under Rattus norvegicus (Norway rat). Its description in RNAcentral is "long non-coding RNA NONRATT015823". Lineage: Eukaryota; Metazoa; Chordata; Mammalia; Rodentia; Muridae. The record is from RNAcentral.
UUCUCUUCAUCCAGGUGAUAAAGUCAUCCCGCUGUUCUCUCCCCAGUGUGGAAAAUGCAGGAUCUGCAAGCACCCGGAAAGCAACCUCUGUUGCCAAACUAAGAAUCUGACACAGCCUAAGGGAGCUUUGCUCGACGGCACCAGCAGGUUCUCCUGCAGGGGAAAGCCCAUUCACCACUUCAUCAGCACCAGCACCUUCUCCCAGUAC